AGUGAACGCUGGCGGUAGGCCUAACACAUGCAAGUCGAACGGCAGCACAGUAAGAGCUUGCUCUUACGGGUGGCGAGUGGCGGACGGGUGAGGAAUACAUCGGAAUCUACUUUUUCGUGGGGGAUAACGUAGGGAAACUUACGCUAAUACCGCAUACGACCUACGGGUGAAAGCAGGGGAUCUUCGGACCUUGCGCGAUUGAAUGAGCCGCUGUCGGAUUAGCUAGUUGGCGGGGUAAAGGCCCACCAAGGCGACGAUCCGUAGCUGGUCGGAGAGGAUGAUCGGCCACACUGGAACUGAGACACGGUCCAGACUCCUACGGGAGGCAGCAGUGGGGAAUAUUGGACAAUGGGCGCAAGCCUGAUCCAGCCAUACCGCGUGGGUGAAGAAGGCCUUCGGGUUGUAAAGCCCUUUUGUUGGGAAAGAAAAGCAGCAGGUUAAUACCCCGCUGUUCUGACGGUACCCAAAGAAUAAGCACCGGCUAACUUCGUG
Molecule: ribosomal RNA, 492 nt
Filed under: uncultured bacterium
Lineage: Bacteria
Description: partial 16S ribosomal RNA
Rfam family: Bacterial small subunit ribosomal RNA
Source: RNAcentral